RNAcentral lists this ribosomal RNA (481 nucleotides) under uncultured bacterium. Its description in RNAcentral is "bacterial SSU rRNA". It matches the Rfam family "Bacterial small subunit ribosomal RNA", at positions 29 to 507 of the family's 1533-position model. The record is from RNAcentral.
AUGAACGCUAGCGGCAGGCUUAAUACAUGCAAGUCGAACGGGAUCAGAGUAGCAAUACUUGAUGAGAGUGGCGCACGGGUGCGUAACGCGUAUGCAACCUACCUUUAACAGGUGAAUAGCCCCGAGAAAUCGGGAUUAAUACACCGUAACAUUGCGAGAUGGCAUCAUUUUGCAAUUAGAGAUUUAUCGGUUAAAGAUGGGCAUGCGUGACAUUAGCUAGUUGGUGAGGUAACGGCUCACCAAGGCCACGAUGUCUAGGGGUCCUGAGAGGGUUAUCCCCCACACUGGUACUGAGACACGGACCAGACUCCUACGGGAGGCAGCAGUAAGGAAUAUUGGUCAAUGGGCGCAAGCCUGAACCAGCCAUGCCGCGUGCAGGAAGACGGCCCUAUGGGUUGUAAACUGCUUUUGUCAGGGAAUAAACCUAUCUACGUGUAGAUAGCUGAAGGUACCUGAAGAAUAAGCAUCGGCUAACUCCGUG